GGGGGGCCGAAACACAUGCAAGUCGAACGGUAGCACAGAGGAGCUUGCUCCUUGGGUGACGAGUGGCGGACGGGUGAGUAAUGUCUGGGAAACUGCCCGAUGGAGGGGGAUAACUACUGGAAACGGUAGCUAAUACCGCAUAACGUCGCAAGACCAAAGAGGGGGACCUUCGGGCCUCUUGCCAUCGGAUGUGCCCAGAUGGGAUUAGCUAGUAGGUGGGGUAACGGCUCACCUAGGCGACGAUCCCUAGCUGGUCUGAGAGGAUGACCAGCCACACUGGAACUGAGACACGGUCCAGACUCCUACGGGAGGCAGCAGUGGGGAAUAUUGCACAAUGGGCGCAAGCCUGAUGCAGCCAUGCCGCGUGUAUGAAGAAGGCCUUCGGGUUGUAAAGUACUUUCAGCGAGGAGGAAGGUGUUGUGGUUAAUAACCGCAGCAAUUGACGUUACUCGCAGAAGAAAGCACCGGCUAACUCCGUGCCAGCAGCCGCGGUAAUACGGGAGGGUGCAAGCGUUAAUCGGAAUUACUGGGCGUAAAGCGCACGCAGCGGUCUGUCAAGUCGGAUGUGAAAUCCCCGGGCUCAACCUGGGAACUGCAUCCGAAACUGGCAGGCUAGAGUCUUGU
RNAcentral lists this ribosomal RNA (624 nucleotides) under Citrobacter freundii. RNAcentral's name for it is "bacterial SSU rRNA". It matches the Rfam family "Bacterial small subunit ribosomal RNA", at positions 41 to 652 of the family's 1533-position model. The record is from RNAcentral. Lineage: Bacteria; Pseudomonadati; Pseudomonadota; Gammaproteobacteria; Enterobacterales; Enterobacteriaceae.